AUAAAUUUGACAAAUGUCUAAAAGAAAUAUAGUAUCUUCUGUGUAAUAUCUUCUUCCGUGCACGUGUGAUUUAUUGUUUAGUCAAUUUAAAUAUCACUCUAAGUAAGAACUGUUAGACAAAACACUCGUAGCAUAAUUGUAUAUUUCAAUAUAUCACAGCCAUACAUUUUUAUAUUCUUUCAGGUGAUUCAGCUUACCCACAGAGGCAAACACUACUGAUGGAUGCACUGACUUUUGGAUGCACCUGUAGGAUCUCCAGAAGCUCGUUAUACCGCUUUACAAGUUCGAGCCCGCAACUGUAUAGAGCGGUGUUUUGGGCGACUAAAAAUCAGUUGGUAGUGUUUGUCGUCAAUGGAGAAACUGCACUACAAGCCAGCAGCGGCAGCUAAGAUCGUUAAAACGUGUUGUGUGCUUGACAAUAUAGCUAACAAAGCGAAUUGUGAACUGCCUCCGCUGAACCGACACGAAGAACAGGAGCAGCAGCAGGAGCAGAGAUUAGCGGCGGAGUUUGACGCCCGUCAGCAGAAUGCUGAUAUUUAUUUGGCAAUGGCUCCUGACAGGUGUUGGCUAAACAAAGAGCUGCAGCUGGGUCGCGCUGCUCGUCAAGCGCUUGUCCGGCAGUUAGCAAAUUAUUGAUUCUUCAUCGGACCAAGGCCGAUUUGUCCAGGACCAAUUUUCGGAUCUCCUGGGCUUCCUGGAACAAGGACUAGUGAUUGUUUCGAGGAGCUGUCAUGGUGUUGGCUCUUGAUAUUUUAUCGUGAAACGCAGAUUUAAUGAUGAAGGCGCGUCGGAACCCAAACGUCAAGAAUCGCCGACGUUCACAGAAGCAGCUACAAUGAGCGGAGAAUCUGAGAGCCAGGAAUGCGGAGCACCUUGCUACUACUAAAAUGGAGAACCCGGACCUGUUAGCGACAUGGAACUGACCAGGACCGUCGUGGGCUCCUCAUGUGCCACCCCCGGAUACCUUUUCUGAUUGUGGUGUUUACAGUACAGUAGUGUACAUAUUCAUGAAAAAAAAUUGUAGGUACUUUUUUUACAUUUUUAAAAAACGCACUCUGCAUGGUUUUGGAGUUUCGACUUCGUGCUAGAUAAAAACCCCCAGGCAAGAGCAAACAAUUUUUUUUCCUAGCCUAUAUUUGUGACCCACUGCAAAGGCCUCUCUUUUCUUCCGCCACCCAUCACGUUUUGCCGCCUGCUUCGGCUAGCCGCAGCAAAAUACGUCGAGGUCAUCUCGCCUCGUUUUUUUUUGGUCUACCUCUGUCCCGACUAGUCGGGUGGUGUCCAGUUAGCAAACUAUACACCCUGUUUCUAUUUUAAAUUAUAUGUGUUGUAUUCUUUUCUUGUACAAUAAAGUGUUUACUUACUUACUUUUUUGAAUUCCGUUAACUUUAAGGGAAGGUUCUUUAGAUUAAAUACGAUUAAUUUCUCAAAAAAGCUAGCGUCUUGG
RNAcentral lists this unclassified non-coding RNA (1447 nucleotides) under Leguminivora glycinivorella. RNAcentral's name for it is "uncharacterized LOC125233074, transcript variant X3". Lineage: Eukaryota; Metazoa; Arthropoda; Insecta; Lepidoptera; Tortricidae. The record is from RNAcentral.